RNAcentral lists this ribosomal RNA (253 nucleotides) under uncultured bacterium. RNAcentral's name for it is "partial 16S ribosomal RNA". It matches the Rfam family "Bacterial small subunit ribosomal RNA", at positions 524 to 776 of the family's 1533-position model. The record is from RNAcentral.
GACAGAGGUGCCGAGCGUUAGGCGGAAUCACUGGGCUUAAAGCGUGUGUAGGCGGAUCGUUAAGUACCUUGUGGAAUCCCACGGCUCAACCGUGGAACUGCUGGGUAUACUGGCGGUCUUGAGCCACCUAGGGGCGAGCGGAGCAAGCGGUGGAGCGGUGAAAUGCGUAGAUAUCGCUUGGAACGCCAACGGUGAAAACAGCUCGCUGGGGGUGUGCUGACGCUGAGACACGAAAGCCAGGGGAGCGAACGGG